GGCAAUAUCCUAUCCUCUAUAAGUCCAGCCAGAGUCUUAGAGUCCACAGCAAUGCCUCAUGCAAGUCCACAUUCAAGGAUCUGCACCAGGAAGGCCCAAAGGCCAGGGGUGGAAGUUAGAAAACCUGAGCCAACUUGUGCCACCAAGCUGAGGGAUCUACACUGGAGCCAGGAAGCAAUGCUCAAGUUGAAGAUCAGAAGACACCAGCCCUUCUCAGUGAUGGCGAGGCCCAGAGCUCCUCAGGCAAGGAGAACAGCCAAGUUUGCCUCACAAAAACCAGCCAUGGCAAGCUCCUCCUAGAAAAUCAACAGCCAAGAAUAUUCUCCUCCAGUUGUCUUUUUAUGCUGUUGGCAACAAUCCUCAGGAAAUUAAACUGCAGUUUCCCAUGAUGGCAGCUGGCUCAAUACAGAAGUCCCUCCUUAUAUGAGGACACAUUCCAAGCCCUCAGUGGAUGCCUGAAACCUCAGAGCUGGAGAAUGAACCCAGGGCCUUAUGCUUGCU
Molecule: long non-coding RNA, 501 nt
Organism: Fukomys damarensis (Damara mole-rat)
Lineage: Eukaryota; Metazoa; Chordata; Mammalia; Rodentia; Bathyergidae
Exons: 3
Source: RefSeq, a predicted model, not a curated record